AACGAACGCUGGCGGCAGGCCUCAUACAUGCAAGUCGAGCGGACGGACCCCUUCGGGGGCGAGUUAGCGGCGAACGGGUGAGUAACAGGUGGAUGAUCUGCCUCCCGGUGGGGGAUAACGGCUGGAAACGGCCGCUAAUACCGCAUUCGGUCGAUGCGUUGCGGCGCAUCAAAGAAAGGCGCUUCACGGCGCUGCCGGGAGAUGAGUCCGCCCCCCAUUAGCUAGUUGGCGGGAUAACAGCCCACCAAGGCUUCGAUGGGUAGCCGAACUGAGAGGUUGAUCGGCCACACUGGAACUGAGACACGGUCCAGACACCUACGGGUGGCAGCAGUAGGGAAUAUUGGGCAAUGGGCGAAAGCCUGACCCAGCCAUGCCGCGUGAGUGACGAAGGUCCUAUGGAUUGUAAAGCUCUUUUCUGAGGAAAGAACAUCCGGGGUAGGAAAUGACCCCGGCUUGACGGUACCUCAGGAAUAAGGAACGGCUAACUCCGUGCCAGCAGCCGCGGUAAAA
Molecule: ribosomal RNA, 510 nt
Filed under: uncultured bacterium
Lineage: Bacteria
Description: bacterial SSU rRNA
Rfam family: Bacterial small subunit ribosomal RNA
Source: RNAcentral